This 301-nucleotide ribosomal RNA is filed under the name uncultured bacterium. RNAcentral's name for it is "partial 16S ribosomal RNA". It matches the Rfam family "Bacterial small subunit ribosomal RNA", at positions 509 to 807 of the family's 1533-position model. The record is from RNAcentral.
CAGCCGCCGCGGUAAUACGUAGGGGGCAAGCGUUGUCCGGAAUCAUUGGGCGUAAAGAGCGUGUAGGCGGCUCGGUAAGUCCGCUGUGAAAGUCCAGGGCUCAACCCUGGAAUGCCGGUGGAAACUGUCGAGCUAGAGUCCGGAAGAGGCGAGUGGAAUUCCUGGUGUAGCGGUGAAAUGCGCAGAUAUCAGGAGGAACACCAAUGGCGAAGGCAGCUCGCUGGGACGGUACUGACGCUGAGACGCGAAAGCGUGGGGAGCAAACAGGAUUAGAUACCCCUGUAGUCCCUGUCUCUUAUAC